UACGAAGGGAGCUAGCGUUGUUCGGAAUCACUGGGCGUAAAGCGCACGUAGGCGGAUUUGUCAGUCAGGGGUGAAAUCCCGGGGCUCAACCUCGGAACUGCCUUUGAUACAGCAAGUCUUGAGUUCGAGAGAGGUGGGUGGAAUUCCUAGUGUAGAGGUGAAAUUCGUAGAUAUUAGGAAGAACACCGGUGGCGAAGGCGGCCCACUGGCUCGAUACUGACGCUGAGGCGCGAAAGCCAGGGGAGCGAACGGG
Molecule: ribosomal RNA, 253 nt
Filed under: uncultured bacterium
Lineage: Bacteria
Description: partial 16S ribosomal RNA
Rfam family: Bacterial small subunit ribosomal RNA
Source: RNAcentral